CCUACGGGUGGCAGCAGUGAGGAAUAUUGGUCAAUGGGCGCGAGCCUGAACCAGCCAAGUCGCGUGAGGGAUGACGGUCCUACGGAUUGUAAACCUCUUUUGCCGGGGAGCAAGCGUGCGUUCGUGAACGCUCGUCGAGAGUACCCGGAGAAAAAGCAGCGGCUAACUCCGUGCCAGCAGCCGCGGUAAUACGGAGGAUGCGAGGGUUAUCCGGAUUUAUUGGGGUGAAAGGGUGCGUAGGCGGGAUGGCAAGUCAGCGGUAAAAAUGCGUUGCUAAACGCCGUAGAGCAGUUGAAACUGGUGUUCUGGAGUGGGCGAGAAGUAUGCGGAAUGCGUGGUGUAGCGGGGAAAUGCAUAGAUAUCAAGAAGAACUCCGAUUGCGAAGGCAGCAUACUGGCGCCCUACUGACGCUGAGGCACGAAAGCGUGGGUAUCGAACAGGAUUAGAUACCCGUGUAGUC
Molecule: ribosomal RNA, 460 nt
Filed under: uncultured bacterium
Lineage: Bacteria
Description: partial 16S ribosomal RNA
Rfam family: Bacterial small subunit ribosomal RNA
Source: RNAcentral